GACGGGGGGGGCAAGUGUUCUUCGGAAUGACUGGGCGUAAAGGGCACGUAGGCGGUGAAUCGGGUUGAAAGUGAAAGUCGCCAAAAAGUGGCGGAAUGCUCUCGAAACCAAUUCACUUGAGUGAGACAGAGGAGAGUGGAAUUUCGUGUGUAGGGGUGAAACUCCGAUAAUAUCGAAGGAACGCCAAAAGCGAAGGCAGCUCGUCUGGGUCCCUACCGAGGCUGGGGUGCGAAAGCAUGGGGAGCGAACAGG
RNAcentral lists this ribosomal RNA (252 nucleotides) under uncultured bacterium. Its description in RNAcentral is "partial 16S ribosomal RNA". It matches the Rfam family "Bacterial small subunit ribosomal RNA", at positions 524 to 776 of the family's 1533-position model. The record is from RNAcentral.